UUUUUUUUUUUUUUUUUUUUUUUUUUUUUGAGACAGAGCCUCACUCUGUUGCCCAGACUAGAGGGCAGUGGCACGGUCUUGGCUCCCUGCAACCCCCACCUCCUGGGUUCAAGCGAUUCUCCUGCCUCAGCUUCCCAAGUAGCUGGGACUAGAGGGAUGCGCCACCAGGCCUGGCUAAUUUUUGUAUUUUUAGUAGAGAUGGGGUUUCACCAUGUUGGCCAGGCUGGUCUCGAACUCCUGAAAUAUUAUCCCCCCCAUUCCCCAGUUUUUUUAGAUAACUCGUUUUUAGUGUGACUUCAGAAGAGACUGGGCAUGACACAGAUUAUUUUUUGUAGCUUUUUUGUGUAGGUGGGUGAUUGGUGUAAGGUUUAGGAGAACAAAAAAGGACAGGUAAAUCAAUAUUAACAGGGAGCUCGGUACCCCUGCUUCUAGAAUUUGACCAACAAAGUGAAAUUUACAAGUAGUUUGCUGGUUUAUUAUCAAAUUAACCUGUGUUUACUAAUGGGUAGUGUCAUGUAGCUUUGAUCUCAAUUCUCAAAACGGUUUUGUAGACUCUGGUUGGAAUCCCACUUUUUCUCAAGUAAUGAGCUUUCUAGGUCUGUUGUUCUGAAUCAGAUUUUGAUACCUUUUGGUUUAGUAGGUGUCUGCUACCAGGUGAGUUAAUUUCUCUUCCUUGGGUCCUGGGUUUCCUUUUUUGUCUGUUUCUUUCCUAACCUUCGAUGUGUAUAGGGUUGCAAGUCAUGUAAGCAUAAUACUCUUUACAUCCUGGGAUAGUAUUUGCUUCUUUGUACUUGGUUGUGCACAGUUGAGAAUACAGUGUGGGUGUGGAACACCUGUCCAGGUGCCAGUUCAUGCUGACAGUUUUGAAAGGUAGUCUCAUUAGAAUCCAGUUAUUAAGCCUGUCUGUUGUAUACAUGAGAAACUAAUUUAGUCUCUGCUUUUACUAUUUUAGUGCUUGGGAAAGUUUCUUUUUGUAAUUAAGACUAGUACUUUAAACGUAUGUUUAGGGCCUUUGAGGUAUUAGGAAUUUUGGAAACUGGAAAGAUACAAUCUUUCUAUCACAGUAUUUGUGUUGAUCCUGAAAUGUCUGAGUUUAUUUUGUUUGGAGUGAGUUUAACCUGAAAUGUCAAAACCUAGAUCCAUAAUAUAGCAUCACAUCUCAAUAAAUUUAUUUGGAAGCAGUUUCUUAA
This 1190-nucleotide long non-coding RNA is filed under the name Homo sapiens (human). RNAcentral describes it as "novel transcript". Lineage: Eukaryota; Metazoa; Chordata; Mammalia; Primates; Hominidae. The record is from RNAcentral.